Molecule: long non-coding RNA, 3562 nt
Filed under: Homo sapiens (human)
Lineage: Eukaryota; Metazoa; Chordata; Mammalia; Primates; Hominidae
Description: HSALNT0079833
Source: RNAcentral
CUUUGUUCAUCUUGACACUGUGCCCAUAUACUUCAACCCUGUGCAAAGAUGGUACUUCGCUCUUGUUGCCCAGGCUGGAGUGCAAUGGCAUGAUAUUGGCUCACUACAACCUCCGCCUCCUGGGUUCAAGCGAUUCUCCUGCCUUAGCCUCCCGAGUCACUGGGAUUACAGACAUGAACAACCACACCCAGCCAAUUUUGUAUUUUUAGUAGAGACAGGGUUUCUCCAUGUUAGUCAGGCUGGUCUCGAACUCCUGACCUCAGGUCAUCCGCCCGCCUCGGCCUCCCUAAGUGCUGGGAUUACAGGCAUGAGCCACCACGCCCGGCCAAUAUUUACUGUUUAUCUUCUCCUCCCCAACUCUUUUCUACCUAGAAGACAGUAACUUAAGCCUGCCUAUAUUUGAGAACAGAGUGGGUAAGGAAGCCCAUUGUCAACUGCAGAAUGUUUGAAAUUGCAUUAUCCCUGAGUGUUUAAUAGCAACAUUUUCCUCUACUAAAUAAAUGCUGUAUACACACACAGACACACCCCCAACACACACAUACACACACACACACACACACACAUACAAAAAUACAUAUGUAUUUAUUUAAAACAGAAAAAUAUUAUUUUUGUAUUUUAUGCUAAAAGAUGUUUAAAUCUUGAACUGAAUUCACAUAUCACUUCCCAUUCAUUCAUUUUUUAAGCUAAGAGUACAAACCUAAAUGAAGCUUUUCUUAGUCAUUUGAAAGCUGUCAUGGUCCAAUCACUUCUGAAGGAAAUAUUUUAGCAAUUACUUUAGUCAAUGUGCAUGGCAAUGGUCAGGGACUUUAUUUUAUUCAAAAUAAGUGGCAGUCAAUAAAGUAUUGCAGAUGAUAGACAUUUAGGAAACAUUAGCUGAAUUAUUCAAAAAGAAGUACAAAGUUUCUACUAAAUAUAUAUAUAUAUAUAUAUUCAGUAGAUAUAUAUUCAGUAGAUAUGAAUGUGUAUAUAGUGUCCGACUAAACAGUGCUUGGCUUAUUAUAACUGUAAUAUGACUAGAUUUCUUCCAUUUUCCUAUAUCAUAUUACAUAAAUUAUUAUUUAUAAAUCUCUAAAGGACCCAUGGAAUUUAAUAUAAAUUAUAACUAUUUCACUUACAACCCACUUACAAACUCCUUUUUCUAUGGACUUUCUGAUAGUGUUUGCCUUAUUUGAAUAAUAAAAUUGUCCAGUAGGAGCUCAUCACUCUAGACAGCAACAGGCAUCUGCAGAGUUCAUUAGAGAUUGCUCCAUAAAAAUAAAAAAUAAAAAAACUUCCUUUGCUGGGUCCCCCAUGUGUUUCUUUUACAACUAUAAUGAGAGCUAUUAUCUACGAAGCGAUGACUAUUUUCCAGGUAAUCAAUAAAACUUAAAAAUGGAUAUGUUAUCUUAAUGGGUACUGAAACUUAAAAAAUAAAAUCAUAAAUUGUCCAAAGACAAAUUAUUUGUAGAUGGGAGAGAUUCAAAGCCUGGUUCUCUUGCCCCAAUGGCGUCUUCCCUUAUCCUAUAAUAGUUUCUUAUAUUUUUUUUACAAGAGUUUCUUUAACCUUUAUGAUAUCUUUGGCUCUGAUGUGUUGUCUUCAUUAUAUUUGCCCUUCCUGCCCACCAUUCUCUUUUCCUGACCCAGCUGUGUUUUCUCUCCUGACGUGGUCCACGUGAAUUGUGGUCACCUGCUAUAAUCGGCCCUCUCUCCUUUGGCCUGCAGACGUGGCCUGUAGAGAGUCCCACAGCCUCAGUGGGCACAGCCUGGUCUUCACAGGGCCCACUUUGCCCCUCCUAGACUCUAGGAUCAUUGUGACUGGAACAAGAAUUAAAAGAAAUUUAAAAAUCUGUAAGCAAAAACUCAGUUGUAUGUAAGAAAACUAACUAUGCCUGAGGAAGAGAAAGAGCUGAAGUCCUUUAAAAAUUGACUGUCUGUUUUUCUGUGGCUAGUGAGCCUUAUCUCUCCCUUUCCCAGGCAUUGUGAAGACCCUGUUUCUCUAGCUGUGCAGCUGCAAGGUCACUAGACAGAUAAUCUCAAGUCAUAAAACAUGUUGUUCCUUAAAAAGUAAGAAAUAAUGUAAUGCACGUCUUAAUUGAAUAACUGUCUUUCUUUCUCGCUUCUGUAAUACGCUUCCCCCUGCACAAAUCUCCCCCCGCCCCACAAAAUGGUUAAAAGGUAGCUUGACUCAGUCCUUUGGAUGUUAAUCCGAUUGGGUCGGUGCAGGUAAAUAAUUAAAUAAUUCCUCCUCAACCCCUCGGUCUCUCUGAUUCCUUAAUUAUCCCGCUGCAUGACAACCAUGACAUAAGUCAUAAAUGAGGGGAACACUCAUUCUUCGAGAAUAUGCACAAUGGCUUUUAGUAAAUUGGCAAACUUCAGCCCAAAAUGACAUUUGAUUCUCUUCUAAGUAAGCAAAAUCCACUGCAGUCUUAACAUGUAACUAACUAGGUGAAACUUACUUUGUUACCAGUUCUUUUUGAGGUUUAACGGUUCUUUUGACAUUUAUUUUGCUUUAGAGAACAAAAUGCUUUUGAAAUUUUCAUCUGAGAUUACUAAUUGAACCUAGAGAGAGCUGAAUGAUUAUGCUAUAAAUCAGCCACAUCAGCUAUGACUUUCAGGGAUAAGAAAAUAAAAGAAUGUGUAUUUCUGGGAUUCAUAUGAAGGAAUUCAUUGCAUGUAAAAUAACAACUUUUAUAUGCUAAUGUCCCCAGAAAGUAAAGCUUUGGACUAAAAGAAUCAAUAAACAAAAUAAUUUGUUUUAAAUUAUAAAGCAAUACAAACACACUGUUUAACAAUAGAAAUUACAGAUGAACAAAAAGAAGAAAAUGAAAUUUGUUAGCAACUCCAUAUAUAACUAGAUAACCACUGAGUGGUUUGUAAAUGUUAAUUUUUUUUUUUUUUUGAGACAGGGUCUCACGGUGUUUCUCAUGCUAGAGCGCAGUGGUGCAAUCAUGGCUCACUGCAACCUUGAUCUCCCAAGCUCAAGCAGUCCUCCCACCUCAGGCUCCAGAGUAGCUGGGACUACAGGGGCGCACCAGGAUUCCUGAGCUAAUUUUUUUUAAAUUUUUUUUUUUGUAGAAAUGGGUCUAUGUUGCCCAGACUGGUCUUGAACUCCUGGACUCAAGCAAAUCCUCCCACCUCGGCCUUCCAAAAUGCUGGAAUUACAGGCAUGAGCCACUCUGUCCGGCCUUAAAUAUUUUUCUGUACAUGUGUUUUUAACACGAACACACUCAUGAGGGUCACCUCCUGCACGAGUCCGAGAGGUAUUCCAUUAUUUUGCACCAAUACCACAUUAUCAUAAACAAUGUAGAUUAAAAAAAAAUCCUGAUAUUUUUAUUUUUGAACAAACCCUCUGUUUACACUACUUCUUUAAAAGUAAAUUGACCCUUUGGAUCCUUUAUCCUCUCUUCUCAUAUGAAUCUUACAUUUGUUUGUCAGCUUCUAUGAAAAAAUCACGGGACAAUUUUUAUUGAAAUUUCAUUGAAUUGAUAGAUUGAUUUGGCAAGAAGUUUUUGAAAUCUUCCCAUCUGCGGAUAUAUUUGUUUAAUCAUUUACAUUUUAUAUUAAGUCUUUCUAUUUUUUUUUC